GAUGAACGCUGGCGGCGUGCCUAAUACAUGCAAGUCGAGCGAAUGGAUUAAGAGCUUGCUCUUAUGAAGUUAGCGGCGGACGGGUGAGUAACACGUGGGUAACCUGCCCAUAAGACUGGGAUAACUCCGGGAAACCGGGGCUAAUACCGGAUAACAUUUUGAACCGCAUGGUUCGAAAUUGAAAGGCGGCUUCGGCUGUCACUUAUGGAUGGACCCGCGUCGCAUUAGCUAGUUGGUGAGGUAACGGCUCACCAAGGCAACGAUGCGUAGCCGACCUGAGCGGGUGAUCGGCCACGCUGGGACUGCGACACGGCCCAGACUCCUACGGGAGGCAGCAGUAGGGAAUCUUCCGAAAUGGACGAAAGUCUGACGGAGCAACGCCGCGUGAGUGAUGAAGGCUUUCGGGUCGUAAAACUCUGUUGUUAGGGAAGAACAAGUGCUAGUUGAAUAAGCUGGCACCUUGACGGUACCUAACCAGAAAGCCACGGCUAACUACGUGCCAGCCGCCGCCGUAA
Molecule: ribosomal RNA, 515 nt
Filed under: uncultured bacterium
Lineage: Bacteria
Description: partial 16S ribosomal RNA
Rfam family: Bacterial small subunit ribosomal RNA
Source: RNAcentral